GACGAACGCUGGCGGCGUGCUUAACACAUGCAAGUCGAGCGGUAAGGCCCUUUCGGGGGUACGACGAGCGGCGAACGGGUAGGAGUAACAACGUGGGUGGACCUCGCCCUCCAGCUCUGGGAGUAAGACCCGGGAAACCGUAGGGUCGUAAUACCGGAUAUGACUCCAUGACGCAUGUUGUGGGGUGGGAAAGCCUUGUGCGGCUGAGGAUGGGCCCGGCGGCCUAUCAGCUUGUUGGUGGGGUGAUGGCCACCAAGGCGACGACGGGUAGCCGGCCUGAGAGGGCGACCGGCCACACUGGGACUGAGAUACGGCCCAGACUCCUACGGGAGGCAGCAGUGGGGAAUCUUGCGCAAUGGGCGAAAGCCUGACGCAGCGACGCCGCGUGAGGGAUGACGGCCUGUGUAAC
This 409-nucleotide ribosomal RNA is filed under the name uncultured bacterium. RNAcentral describes it as "bacterial SSU rRNA". It matches the Rfam family "Bacterial small subunit ribosomal RNA", at positions 28 to 429 of the family's 1533-position model. The record is from RNAcentral.